GAUGAGCGCUGGCGGCGUGCCUAAUACAUGCAAGUCGAGCGAACGGACGAGAAGCUUUCUUCUCUGAUGUUAGCGGCGGACGGGUGAGUAACACGUGGAUAACCUACCUAUAAGACUGGGAUAACUUCGGGAAACCGGAGCUAAUACCGGAUAAUAUUUUGAACCGCAUGGUUCAAAAGUGAAAGACGGUCUUGCUGUCACUUAUAGAUGGAUCCGCGCUGCAUUAGCUAGUUGGUAAGGUAACGGCUUACCAAGGCAACGAUGCAUAGCCGACCUGAGAGGGUGAUCGGCCACACUGGAACUGAGACACGGUCCAGACUCCUACGGGAGGCAGCAGUCGGGAAUCUUCCGCAAUGGGCGAAAGCCUGACGGAGCAACGCCGCGUGAGUGAUGAAGGUCUUCGGAUCGUAAAGCUCUGUUAUUAGGGAAGAACAUAUGUGUAAGUAACUGUGCACAUCUUGACGGUACCUAAUCAGAAAGCCCCGGCUAACUACGUG
Molecule: ribosomal RNA, 497 nt
Filed under: uncultured bacterium
Lineage: Bacteria
Description: partial 16S ribosomal RNA
Rfam family: Bacterial small subunit ribosomal RNA
Source: RNAcentral